GACGAACGCUGGCGGCGUGCUUAACACAUGCAAGUCGAGCGGUAAGGCCCUUUCGGGGGUACGACGAGCGGCGAACGGGUGAGUAACACGUGGGUGACCUGCCCUCAGCUCUGGGAUAAGCCUGGGAAACCGGGUCUAAUACCGGAUAUGACUCCAUGACGCAUGUUGUGGGGUGGAAAGCCUUGUGCGGCUGAGGAUGGGCCCGCGGCCUAUCAGCUUGUUGGUGGGGUGAUGGCCUACCAAGGCGACGACGGGUAGCCGGCCUGAGAGGGCGACCGGCCACACUGGGACUGAGACACCGGCCCAGACUCCUACGGGAGGCAGCAGGUGGGGAAUCUUGCGCAAUGGGCGAAAGCCUGACGCAGCGACGCCGCGUGAGGGAUGA
RNAcentral lists this ribosomal RNA (385 nucleotides) under uncultured bacterium. Its description in RNAcentral is "bacterial SSU rRNA". It matches the Rfam family "Bacterial small subunit ribosomal RNA", at positions 28 to 411 of the family's 1533-position model. The record is from RNAcentral.